AUAUAAGCAAAAUUGACUUUUUGGUUCAUUCAAUUAAUGAUGUAUGUGGUCUAUAAUAUGAACCACAUACAUCAUUAAUUAAAUGAACCUAAAAAGUCAAUUUUGCUUAUAU
MicroRNA precursor from Medicago truncatula (barrel medic), 112 nucleotides. It matches the Rfam family "MIR2593 microRNA precursor family". The record is from Rfam. Lineage: Eukaryota; Viridiplantae; Streptophyta; Magnoliopsida; Fabales; Fabaceae.